Mastomys coucha (southern multimammate mouse) is the source of this 1506-nucleotide long non-coding RNA. RefSeq lists it as uncharacterized. NCBI's taxonomy places the organism in Eukaryota, Metazoa, Chordata, Mammalia, Rodentia, Muridae. The record is from RefSeq and is a predicted model, not a curated record. The transcript has 2 exons.
UUUAGAGUGGAACAAAAAAAGUCUCAGUGGUUUCUCAGUCAGUGUGAACCAAAACCGUAGCACAGGUCAUUGGAUGUCCUUACCAAACGGGCAUCCUGACACACAAAACUAAGGCCACAAAUCCUAAGAGGAAACCUGAAAUCUGGCCCCAGUGGCAAAAGAAACAAAUUCAUCUUUGCAUCAACUUUCAUCUCAGUUUUGAAAGGCAUCCUGGUGUGUCCCAGGGCACACUGAAUCUGUGUUACCUGUGUUAGUUCUCUGUCACAACUCCAGCCUCAGCUGCCAUGGCUACCCCUUCUCGUGGCUGUGAGAACACGAGUUCCCAUAAACAGUGCACAGAGGAGCUAAGAAGUCUAAAACCUCCACGGAGGCUUCAGACGGCAUGCAAACUGCGUGAUGAGAAAUCAGAAGACAUUCGGUAGACAUUGGAAAAUGCUGCGGAAACCAGCUGUAUGAGAAGGGAACGUUUUCUGCACAUGCUUAGUUGGCACCAGCUACAGCCCAUCCUCGAUUCCAGGUGUUGCCAAUCCACGUUCACAAAUGACCAAGUCCCUGCUUCAAGGAAUUUCCUUUCCAAUGGAAUGCACUAGCACCGUGCUACCCGAAGGAGAUUCACCGCAAAUAGACGUGUGCCCUCAGAGGCCAUCAUGGCUGAGAUGAGGAAAACAAGUGACAGGGAGCCAAGCAAGGACAAAGGAAGGGACAGCAGCAGACUCUUCUCAUUGUUGAAGAAGAAGAGAGUGAAGCUGAAGAAACCGAAAGGCCAUGUUAGAAACAGAACUAACUGAAAUCACCCAUUUUAUGGUCAAGCGUUCUUUCCUUACCAAAGCUCAAUUGAUUCAGGGAUUUCCCCUAUAAAAGCUGAAAGCACUCUAGAACUGCUUAAGUGAGUGUAGUUCAGAGGCAGCCUUAUUAAGUAGUCUGCUUGAUUUAUCCUACAAAUAAAUAGAAUAAGGACUACUGGUGAGUUUAGUCAAGGAUUUGAGUACAUGGGAGGGAUGGUAUCAAUGAAGAGGAACUAAUUGCAGACAUGGGAUGAAGAAUAGAGUUCUGUUUUAUAGCAACCAUGGAGGUAAAAGUGCUAAAGUCCUUGUUAAACAGAUUAUCAUUCAUUACUCUCAUAGACUUCCUGGACAAAGCCCUCUAAUACCUCAGUGGGAAAAGGCCAGGCUCAGGUGUUGGCAGAGUUGGAAUCCAGCUCCCAUAAGGCUGCCUUUCCUAAAAACCACACAGAAGCAAAUUUAGACUAGCUCAGAAUACAUUUUAAAAGGAACAGUUCAUGCAGGGAGGGAGAAAAUACUCUUUGGGUUUUGUUCAAAAGCAAAUGAAUAGGCCAGAGUUAGGCAAAAGGCACUAUUUCCCCAGACCCUAGCUUCUUAACCGUGGGUCAGAGCCCUCGUCAGGUCAAGAGUUCACGGGCAUCUUGGUUCUGAGCACACCAGUGUGUAUACUUUGCAUUGUGCAUGGCAGCUGGCCACUCAACAAGCAGCUCAAGUUCAAGACUAA